Molecule: unclassified non-coding RNA, 226 nt
Filed under: uncultured Thelephoraceae
Lineage: Eukaryota; Fungi; Basidiomycota; Agaricomycetes; Thelephorales; Thelephoraceae
Description: sequence contains ITS2
Source: RNAcentral
AAUUCUCAACUGCCCCAGGCUUUGUGGCCUGCGGGUGAAGUUGGACUUGGAGGUAUGCUGGCGCAUGAAUGGGCUUUUGUGCCCCGUCUCGCUUGUUGGCUCCUCUCGAAUGCAUGAGCUUUCCAAUCCUUGGCAAAGUAUCGUCGAUGUGAUAAUUGUCUACGUCGCCUGAGAAAGCCGAAAAGGGGAAAUCUUUGAUCACGCUGGGGUGACCUGCGUCUGACAA